Molecule: long non-coding RNA, 790 nt
Filed under: Sinocyclocheilus grahami
Lineage: Eukaryota; Metazoa; Chordata; Actinopteri; Cypriniformes; Cyprinidae
Description: lncRNA (ENSSGRG00000054498.1)
Source: RNAcentral
ACCUUUAUACAAUUUUUUUUAAAGGUUACAAUAAGUCUUUGGCUCCACCGAAGAACAGUUGUCCAUUCACUAACCAAACAAAUAACCAGGAUCACAGACCUGUAGAAAGUCACACACCUGAAGAAAUGUAUACCCUAUUAAUCUGUGGUCUGAUAAUAGUGGUGGUAAUGCUGUCUGUCUACAGCAUUAUUCUUACGGCAGUCUGCAUCAGAUUGAGGGACACAAAGCCUGAGUCUUCUGACACACUGACCUAUGUCCCAAUGCAGAGGAAUGUAAACCGGCGUGAUCUAGACAACACCGAAUACGUGGACAUGCGUGAAGUGCAGAAACGGGGAGGAUCCCACAGAGAUAUGAACCACAACUCUCAUCUUGCUAUUGCCUGAGCCCUUUUCUGGCAUAAGUGAGCUCAUGCUUUAACUGCUCUAGGACUUACUGCUGGGUGAAUUUUACUUAGGCUACACUAAAGAAUAUCACAGGACAAAACUAUUGCCUUUCUACCAAACAAAACAGACUUUCCUGAAUGCCUGAAUCUGUAUAUUGCGGCUGCACUGCAUACGUUACGCAGUCUUGAAGUUCUCUGUGUCAGAUGGUUUCAUCUGGUGGCUUGUACAACCUAAUGCUGAAUUGUAGGUAUGCCAAGCUAAAUGUAUAUGAAGUAUCAAGCUUGGGGAUUUUUAAAUUAUUAUUUUGAUCCCAUGGACCGAUAAUCAAUGAUAAAAUGAGUUUUGUUUAGAUCCCCCCCCCCCCCCCCAAAAAAAAAUUAUAAUUUUUUUUUCUAACAAUAAAUAUA